GCAGAGGUCCCGGGGCGCCCAGGUGUGCGUCCCUUCCGGCGCGCCCAAAGGCUGGGGGUCGGAAACUACGGGUAGGGGCCUGAUCCAGGGUCUCGGCAGCCUGUCGCCACGGGAGCGGCCGGGCGUGCUCCACUAGGCGAAGCGAGAUUACUUGAGCCGAAAAGCGGUUGUUAGACUUCGGGAGAGCAGGUACGGCCGUCUCGUCCUCCUCCCCCUGGCCAGCCUGGCCUCGCCCGAGGCGACACCGCAGCCUCCAGGCAGCUCGCUGAUGGGGUAAGGAGAGAAAGGGAGGCACUGAUAAAGCACGCUUUUCACUUUUUUUGCCUUUUUGUCCCUUUGGAGAACUCGAGUCCGGCCCAUAUGCCGCUAGUUUUAGUUUCCCUUACCAAUACACUGAUGGCUUGGGUGAGCAAACUGAUAAACUCAAAAGCAGAUGUCUUACCAUUUACCUCUGAGCUGGAUCUGAAAUUGCAGGUAAGGGAUGGGGUGGGAGUGGGGACUUCUCAAACAGCUCCUGCCAAAGAUCUGGUGGGCUUGACCGAAUGGGUCGAACGGAUUGAGACCAGAAUGGUUUAUAACCAAGAGAAGAGGGGCAUUCGUGUAAAAGGAAGUAAUAACAGGACACCUAACACAGACAGACAGCACGCUGCCAAGCAGGUACUCUGCUAAGUGCUACACCUAUAUUAACGCAUUGAAUCCUUCUGCUGUCCAGGUGCGGAAACUGAGGCAUACAUCACUUAACUUGCUGGAGGGAGUGAUAGCUGGGGUCCCUCCUCCAAAAGUUCUGAAUGGCUGAACUAAAAAGCAGAAACAGUUAAAGAGUAAAGAGCAAGGUGUUCUCAUUUUUGCAGGUCAGGAGCCAGCUGGAAGGAGGGCUUGGAGGGCCAGGUCGAACACCUUCCUAACUGCCCAGUUUCCACAGUUUGGAUCUUAAACUAUAUUUGUUCCCACCCCCACUCCCAAAUUCUACCAAGCUGGUCCCCCAAUGUUAGAGGAAGUAAACUUAUUCUUGUAGUACAAGGUGCCUGCGGCAAAACUGAACAGACCACAACAAGCUCCACAUCUGGCUCACUGCCAACAUUUUAUCCUUAAAUGCUUGCAAAUAUCAUUGUAUUCUUUAAUUUCCUUGUUUGUUCUGGUGUAAAAGCAUGUUUGUCUUCAUUGUCUAGUAAGAAUGGUGUUUGCAGAAGCUGCUCAGGUUUAUCUUGGGAUUACCUGCCCCUUCGAGCAGUGGUGUGGUGGGGACAACUCAGCCCACUUCCAGAGGCAGUGAUUAUAAUUAAUGGGAAGCUAAAGAGUUUAAACUGGGAGACAUCGUGUGCUAAGUGGUCACGUGCCAAGGGGUGAUGUAAAAAGAUUUGUCCAGCAGAAAUGUGUAGGAUGGAUUAAAUGAAAUAAGUUGAGUCCUGGACACUGAGGAAACACUGUAUUAAUAAGGAUGCUAAUAACUUGAGUAUGCCAAGUAUUCUUUAAGUUUAGGCCCUGUGGUGUUGUAUCUUCUGGGCACUUCUCUACCCCAAGCUAGGUGUUUUACAGCUGCUGAAGUAGCUGCCGUUGUCUCACACCCAACAGACCUGGGUUACCAGCAAAGUGCUGUGAUCCAACCUCUCCGUGCUCUGCCGUUUCCAGCCUCCUCCUGUCACACCUGGUGCUUCCCCCAGCUCUCAGCCUGCCCAGACCUGCGUACAACUCUGAGCCUCAGCGAUCCAGGCUCCAUUAUCUUAAAACUGACUUGAAGAUGCCAGUGGCAGGGGACACAGCAGUACUUCUCCAGCCACUACCACAGUUUCCUUUGUGGUGACCUCAGGGACACUGCACAUCUAAUCACUGCUGAGCCUCAGCUGGAAGGGGCUGUGGUUGUAUCCAUCGGAGUCUCCCAAGUUUGAACAUGGACAACUCACAGAAAACAACUAAUAAUCGAAGUCAAAGAGAAACAGUGAUUUGUGUGACAGUUUUUCAUUGAAGCAGAGCCAACAUCUGCAGAAGCAUCUCUCCAGGACAGGAGCACAUCUGGCUCAGCAGCAGGAAGAGGAGCUGAGAUGCAUGGAUGUCACCUGUGAUGUCACCCAAGUCACCUGGUGAUCCUCACAGAGCCGGUUCCUGGUUCCUUCCAACUGAGUCUCUGGGAAGAGCUAACAUCAGAAUGGAAUAAAACACAGUGGAGAAGGAGGAAGAUAUCUCAGGGACCUAAAAUCUCUUUCUCCUAAUUCUUAUGGGAAAAUACCUAUUUUGCCAAAAUAUAAGAUUUUCUUCGAUAAUCAUUUAUUUUAUACAAUCAGAAGACAGUUAAGGAAAAGGACAUUUCCAUCCCCUUACCUCAUCAAGAUGACCAAGCCAAUCACCAAGCUGAGAAUAAGGACGCCUGAAAUGGUGCCCACAAUAGUGAGGAUCAGCUGAAAUUCUGAAAAGGAAAAGAAGAGUAAGAAUGGCCUUCAACAAGCUGGUCCCAGCUGUCUACCGCACAGGUCUGUGUGUUCCCAGUGACUCCCAGUUGAGAGGUGGAUCAGGCUGCAGUUCUGACCCCUCCAGAGGCAGCUCACAGCCUUUGCAGCCUCUGCCUCUCCUACCUGUGUCUUCAGAACUCAGUCAGCAGAGGAAGCCCGGCCAGGUACAAGACCACAAAGACCAAGGAGGCUGAUGGCAGAGGGCUCUUCCUGGGAAUGGUGGGAAGCGGGUCCAACUGAGGUUGACACCUCUCUCUUAAUUACCUCUGCUGCCUCAGCCCUCCAUACUCCUCUUACUGAGGGACUCGGUUGGAGUUAAGUCUGUCCCUAACAGAGAAGCCAGGUAGCUUUCGGUUUUAUCCUGCGGGAAGAGACUUGAGGCUGGUCCACAAGCAUGUUUCUCCUCCAACUCUCACAGGCACUACCAACACUGCAAACACAGCUAUGAGACAGCCUUCAAUGUAACACAGGCACCAGAUUCCAAACACCGAGUGUGAAAAAAUGCGAAAUGACUCAUUAAUAUUCUUAUAUUGAUUACAUGUCCGAAUAAUAUUUUGGAUAUAUUGGAUCUAUCAAUCUAUAUCUAUAUCUAUCUCUCUCUAUAUAUA
Non-coding RNA from Heterocephalus glaber (naked mole-rat), 3052 nucleotides. The record is from RefSeq and is a predicted model, not a curated record. Lineage: Eukaryota; Metazoa; Chordata; Mammalia; Rodentia; Bathyergidae.